Macadamia integrifolia is the source of this 1320-nucleotide long non-coding RNA. RefSeq lists it as uncharacterized. The transcript has 3 exons. The record is from RefSeq and is a predicted model, not a curated record. NCBI's taxonomy places the organism in Eukaryota, Viridiplantae, Streptophyta, Magnoliopsida, Proteales, Proteaceae.
CUAUUUCGACCCUAACUCAUUGAGGUAAUUUUUUUUUUCUACACAGAUAUCUUUUCACCAAUAAAUUAUACAUUUUUAUUUCUUUACUGAGUUUUAGUUUGUUUUUGUUCAAUCAGAAUUGGCGAAGGGAGUAGUACAAGGUAGAUCAUUAGUUUUAGUCUUAAGAGCUAGAUCAAUUGCCAUCGCGUGCCUCUAAAGGAAUUAAAGAUAUUCAAGUAAUGAUGGUAUUUACCGUAAGGAGAGUUCAAAACAAAACUUUGUACUCAAUAGCCAAUAACCCUAAAUAUAAAAAUACUACAUUAGCUUGGCAUCCUAUUCACCAUUGGAUAAUAUCCUUUUGGGUUCAAAGGCGAAAGAUGAGAUCCACCACAUCAAAUGGUGAACACCAGGGAUACAUGAUGCUCAUUCAAGUUGCCUUUGUUCGGGUGUGCCCCAAACUGAAGCAUAGUGAAACUCUAGCUUCAGAUUCUCAAAGUGAGGGUGUGAUCCAAACUGAAGGAAACUUGAAAAAAAGGAGGAGGCAAAAGGGAACAUGGUGUUCAAUCUGGCCAUCCUCAACAUGGGAUAUAUAUAUAUAUAUAUAUAUGCCUAUAUCACAAGGCUUACCUGUUUGAGGAUGUAAAUCGUUUGUGAAGUAAAUAGAAUUACUAUGUACUCCCGGGCUCUCAAUAGUUGGGAUUUUCAUUGUGGUUCUCUUUCAACUUGUAUACCAGAAAUUUGAAGGUUAUAUAAUGAGCAUAAAUAUCCCAAAGAGUCAAUGAAGGCACAACUUCCAGAAGAAGAAAGAUGGUCGGGACUUAGAAACAGAUCUCUGGAUGGUUUUGCCACAUAAGUUUGAAGGAUAGAGAAGUAAGAGACGAAGCAUUUAUCAAUGGAAGACAAGAUCUUUCAAGUGGUGUUAUACAGGAGCAUGCAUGGAUGUGGGCUUAGGCAGGAUAAAUGCUACAAACAUCACAAGACUUUAUGGUACGGUGCAACAAAUCUUCAGGAAGUAGCUCAGCUUCACAAGACAUGUUACUUUCUUUUUUGAUGGGACCCAUAUGGUGUUGAACCUCCAAGAUACCAUUCAUAUAUGGAAUAGUAACUAUACCUUGUAUGGAUAGGAGGCAGGAAGGAGUGUGCAUAACAAAAGAUAUAAGGUGGCAUCAAGACAUUUCAUGUUAGUGUUGGUGUUCUUCGAUGAUUAUAUUGGAAUCUAAGCUGUAAUCUGACUGUAACACCCCAAACCCAAAUAACAAGUAUGGUGUUGCCCUCACAGGCAGUGAUGUAAAAUGAUCAUUAACUUUCAUCAAUAACACGUAGGCUUUGUUUCCACUAUUA